GUGUCAGCAGCCGCGGUAAUACGUAGGGUGCGAGCGUUAUCCGGAAUUAUUGGGCGUAAAGAGCUCGUAGGCGGUUUGUCGCGUCUGUCGUGAAAGUCCGGGGCUUAACCCCGGAUCUGCGGUGGGUACGGGCAGACUAGAGUGCAGUAGGGGAGACUGGAAUUCCUGGUGUAGCGGUGGAAUGCGCAGAUAUCAGGAGGAACACCGAUGGCGAAGGCAGGUCUCUGGGCUGUAACUGACGCUGAGAAGCGAAAGCAUGGGGAGCGAACAGGAUUAGAAACCCGGGUAGUCC
This 292-nucleotide ribosomal RNA is filed under the name uncultured prokaryote. Its description in RNAcentral is "partial 16S ribosomal RNA". It matches the Rfam family "Bacterial small subunit ribosomal RNA", at positions 505 to 796 of the family's 1533-position model. The record is from RNAcentral.